GCCAUCCUAGUUUUAGUUGGCAAUAGUGAUAUUGUUGAAGGCGUUGUCUGUAGUUCGAAAAAAUUGCUCAGGAAUGAAAACCGCCUGAUCUUCACGCGAUGGAUCAUGGCCACACAGAGCGUGUUGCUUCAUUCAUGGAGGCAAAUGAUGUUUUAGUGGUGCAAGGAACUGGAGAUUAUGUUGGUGCAUUCUUGGAGGCGCUGCCUGCGCACCCGGACGUGCUCGUCCGCCCUACUACAUAAAAGAUGAAUUAAAUACGUUAUUAAUCAACUCUCAAAUUGUUCAUUUGGCAGCAAAAACUUGACAGGUGGGUGUGGAUGCGUCACCGGGAUAACACGUAGGCAAAAACAUGCCAUGUAGGCAGCUUACGUGUACAAUUAGCGCUUACGUGUAAAUAAAACGGAGCAGCACUAUUGCAAAAUUAGCUCUUUGUUUAUUUAUUACUCCUUUUAUAAUUGGGCUUGCUACGUAGGUUGCUUAUAUUGCCGAAGAAAUUUUGACGGAGAAUCAUAAAGGGUUCUUAUACUGCUUAUCUCCUUCACCUAAUGUAGCAGGAACAAAUAGGGAGAUGAAAAGGGAACGAACAGGCCUGCUUGCUGCGUGUGGCUGUGUUGCAGCGCUGGAGAGGAGCACCAGCACAUGGAGGUGCUACCGCGCCGGAGCUUCUUGGGCUGCGGCGACCGGCGAGCUUGACGCACAGCUGGAGGUAGUGGUAGUCAUGGUGGAAGGUGGUGCAGCUGGAGCUUCGAUGCUGAAAUCCCGUCGCGGGGGAGCUUGGCUGGGCGAAGGAGGGCCGGCGCGGCUAUAGGGGGAAGUGGAGAAGGUUUGUGCAGCGGCGAUUUGAUUUUGCUUGAGGGAAGCGGCGUGAAUCUUGGCCAGAGGUGGCUCUGCUCGUUUCAGUCCGAGGAAGAAGAAAUGAGGACCAGGAAGGGGGAUGAGGAGGAGACCGGCCAGCUUGCGAAGGAGAUAGCCGCGGAAGUUGCCGUCC
RNAcentral lists this long non-coding RNA (988 nucleotides) under Setaria italica (foxtail millet). RNAcentral's name for it is "long non-coding RNA (SITA_LNC007103)". Lineage: Eukaryota; Viridiplantae; Streptophyta; Magnoliopsida; Poales; Poaceae. The record is from RNAcentral.